AAAAUCCAUAAGCAACAAAUUAAUUUAGUGAGGCCUAGGCAAGAUGAAUCAACAAAUUGAUAAUUUCUUGUGACAUUGCAUCUGUUGCUAGGUGAUGUCUUGAGGUAUAAUAAACCAAAACCUGUUCAACUUAUUAAAAUUGGCAAAAGUUGAAUGAUAUAUGUGGGAAGUAAGAGCCAGGUUUGAAAGGAGUAUGAUCCAUAAGGCC
Molecule: long non-coding RNA, 208 nt
Filed under: Mytilus galloprovincialis (Mediterranean mussel)
Lineage: Eukaryota; Metazoa; Mollusca; Bivalvia; Mytilida; Mytilidae
Source: RNAcentral